GAUGAACGCUGGCGGCGUGCCUAAUACAUGCAAGUCGAGCGAACAGAUGAGGAGCUUGCUCCUCUGACGUUAGCGGCGGACGGGUGAGUAACACGUGGAUAACCUACCUAUUAGACUGGGAUAACUUCGGGAAACAGCAGCUAAUACCGGAUAAUAUAUUGAACCGCAUGGAUCAAUAGUGAAAGACGGUUUUGCUGUCACUUAUGGAUGGAUCCGCGCCGCAUUAGCUAGUUGGUAAGGUAACGGCUUACCAAGGCAACGAUGCGUAGCCGACCUGAGAGGAUGAUCCGCCACACUGGAACUGAGACACGGUCCAGACUCCUACGGGAGGCAGCAGUAGGGAAUCUUCCACAAUGGGCGAAAGCCUGACGGAGCCACGCCGCGUGAGUGAUGAAGGUCUUCGGAUCGUAAAGCUCUGUUAUUGGGGAAGAACAAAUGUGUAAGAAACUAUGCACGUCUUGACGGUACCUAAUCAAAAAGCCACGGCUAACUACGUG
This 497-nucleotide ribosomal RNA is filed under the name uncultured bacterium. RNAcentral describes it as "partial 16S ribosomal RNA". It matches the Rfam family "Bacterial small subunit ribosomal RNA", at positions 28 to 507 of the family's 1533-position model. The record is from RNAcentral.